Molecule: transfer RNA, 71 nt
Filed under: Dipodomys ordii (Ord's kangaroo rat)
Lineage: Eukaryota; Metazoa; Chordata; Mammalia; Rodentia; Heteromyidae
Rfam family: tRNA
About the family: Transfer RNA (tRNA) molecules are approximately 80 nucleotides in length. Their secondary structure includes four short double-helical elements and three loops (D, anti-codon, and T loops).
Source: Rfam by way of RNAcentral
GGAAUAUGGCUCAGUGGUAGAGUACUUGCCUCCUAUGCAUGAAGCCCUGGGUUCGAUUCCUCAAUACUCCA